CCUACGGGUGGCAGCAGUGGGGAAUAUUGCACAUUGGGGGAAACCCUGAUGCAGCGACGCCGCGUGAAGGAUGAAGUAUUUCGGUAUGUAAACUUCUAUCAGCAGGGAAGAAAAUGACGGUACCUGACUAAGAAGCCCCGGCUAACUACGUGCCAGCAGCCGCGGUAAUACGUAGGGGGCAAGCGUUAUCCGGAUUUACUGGGUGUAAAGGGAGCGUAGACGGCUGUGCAAGUCUGGAGUGAAAACCCGGGGCUCAACCCCGGGAUUGCUUUGGAAACUGUGUAGCUGGAGUACCGGAGAGGCAAGUGGAAUUCCUAGUGUAGCGGUGAAAUGCGUAGAUAUUAGGAGGAACACCAGUGGCGAAGGCGGCUUGCUGGACGGUAACUGACGUUGAGGCUCGAAAGCGUGGGGAGCAAACAGGAUUAGAUACCCCGGUAGUC
Molecule: ribosomal RNA, 440 nt
Filed under: uncultured bacterium
Lineage: Bacteria
Description: bacterial SSU rRNA
Rfam family: Bacterial small subunit ribosomal RNA
Source: RNAcentral